CAGGAGGCAGCCAAUCAGUGAUUCGCUCUCAUCAUUGAUGUUUCUAUUCCUCUCUUCCUCUCUCUUCCUCUCUGAAAUAAAUGAUAAAAAAUAUUUUUUUUUAAAAAGAUCUGCUCAAUGAAACACUUCUUUUUUCUAUGGUCAUUGGCUGCAUUAUCAAGGGUGCUUUAAAUAAUAGUAAGUCCUAACAUGGCAAUAGUGACUUUAAUGUUUUUCAUUUUUAAGUAUACUUUUGCUAUGGACUACUGAACUGAUUGUAGUUUUACUCCUGUUGUAAUCUUUGGUUCCCAGGUGGAAAGUGCAACAGCAGGAGCUCAACCAGCAACAGUGGUUUCUAAUAUAACUAAAAUAAAUGCACUGUGAAAGUUUUACAAAAUAUGCAGUGUGAACUUUGAUGGUGAAUUUUAAUCUCCUAAUCAGAAAUUGUAAUUUAUUUUGUCAGUGAAGCUGGGUGAUACCAUUUAAAGAAACAAGUGUUUAGGAAAGAGCAAUAUAUCUACUGCGUUUUGAAGUCUGUUGGAACAUCUGUUGGAGAAUGUAUGCCUGUAACCAGCGUUCUCAAUAGAUCUGGGAAGGGGGCAGAGCAGGUCUGCGUGUGGAACUGCUGACAUGCGCUGGUCUGGGGCCAAGACAAAUGAGCAGGAUCGACGCAGAAGGAAAACUGUGGAUAUUGCACGUGCCAUUAUCUUUGGGGCUACACGGGAUGAGUGAUCAUUUCUGUGAUUAGCUCGAAAGAAUUCAGAGGUUUUUCCCCAAUUUGAAUUGAACGCACUUGUUUAAAAAUAAAUUUCCUAUGUAAGCCAUGCUGAAUGAGUUAGAUAGAUAUGGCCAGAUAAUUGCCUGAACAAAGCAGACACGAGCUUGGAGUUGGAUGAAGAUAAAUUGUAUUAGCAACAAUGGAAAAAUGUGUACUAUCUGGAGUAUAAAUAUCUAAAAUAGUUUUAUCGGAGAGGAUUACGUUAGUAACAUUUUUUGAAAUGUACUGUUUAAACUUAAAGUAAUAAUUUUAGAGCAUGACUAAGACCUAAGAGCAUGGCUAUCAACUGGGAUGUCAAUUCUUUUUUUAAAAAUCUUUUUAUUUAUUAAAUUUUUUUAAAUUACA
This is a long non-coding RNA of Myotis lucifugus (little brown bat), 1102 nucleotides long. RefSeq lists it as uncharacterized. The record is from RefSeq and is a predicted model, not a curated record. The transcript is spliced from 2 exons. Lineage: Eukaryota; Metazoa; Chordata; Mammalia; Chiroptera; Vespertilionidae.